CCACAAACAACACACACACCUCUCCUAUCCACAUAAUUCACUGUCUUCUAUCUCUUUCUUCCUUUUCUUUUUCCUGUGGAAUCGUGCCCUAGCUUGCACUGUAACAUGUUAAAAAAGAAACAUAUAUGCAUGCGGGAAUAUACAAGAUUUAUAAGGGUGUUCUACAGUAUGCGUGCACCGCAAUAUUUCUCUCUGCUCAUCUCUGAAUAAAGCCUUCCUAUAUGCAAAUACUAUUUUUUUAUUAUUAUAAUUAUAUAUAAAAGAAGGGUGUAGAGAUUCAAGCUUAAAAUCAUUGUCCGAAAACAUUGUAUAAUUUUACUAUUGUUGUCCCUAUAAAGACCAAAUACGACUCUUCCGACCUUAAUUGCUGAGAUCAUCAAAAUCUUUUUAAUUAAUUAAAAAAAAAAAUCUCCUUUUGAUGAUCACCAUGCCUAUUGAUGCCUUUGAGUUAGUAAUGAAGACGAAAGUAGUUGAGCAGAAGCCGGUGCAGAUUAUUAGGUUUGUCUCCUUUCAGAUUCUUCAUGAGGCGGCCUGCAACUACUGCUGGAGCUCUAAAUAUUCCCUAUAUGCCCCAGUUGAAGAACUUGCAGGUUUCUCCAAAACCCUAGAGUUUUAAUCAUGGAUAUAUAUGGAUAUAUGGAUAUAUGUUAUAUCACAUAUCUCUAUCUAUAUAUUCAGGUGGGGAAUCAAGCGUUCAUGGUCCGAAAACAGUUUCUUCUUCUUCUUCUUCUUCUUUUUCUUUUUUUAAAUUAUUUUGUGUUUUUUGAUCGAGUGUGCAACAAAUAUCAUACCAUGUUGCUGCACUUUGAUAAUUGCUUUGUAGGAUAGCUAAUAUAGCCAAGUAUGUUUGUUGAUAGCUUAUAUAGCCAAGAUGGGUUUGCUAGGUUGUAUUACGAGUGUUUAGAAAAUAAUAUUAAUAGUGAAUUAUGAAUGAUCAUAAUUAAUAUUGUUCAUGUACUUUAAAGUUGGAUAAGUGAAUGUAAGCAAGACCUGCAGUUUUUUGGCUGUAAUAUAUAUAUAUAUAUAUAUAUAUAUAUAUAUUUCAUGAUUUCUUCUUAUUAAUGUAUGUUGAAGUUAAAUUUUGUUUA
Long non-coding RNA from Ziziphus jujuba (common jujube), 1088 nucleotides. RefSeq lists it as uncharacterized. The record is from RefSeq and is a predicted model, not a curated record. The transcript is spliced from 2 exons. NCBI's taxonomy places the organism in Eukaryota, Viridiplantae, Streptophyta, Magnoliopsida, Rosales, Rhamnaceae.